Molecule: ribosomal RNA, 301 nt
Filed under: uncultured bacterium
Lineage: Bacteria
Description: partial 16S ribosomal RNA
Rfam family: Bacterial small subunit ribosomal RNA
Source: RNAcentral
CAGCCGCCGCGGUAAUACGUAGGUGGCAAGCGUUGUCCGGAAUUAUUGGGCGUAAAGGGCUCGCAGGCGGUUUCUCAAGCCUGAUGUGAAAGCCCCCGGCUCAACCGGGGAGGGUCAUUGGAAACUGGGAAACUUGAGUGCAGAAGAGGAGAGUGGAAUUCCACGUGUAGCGGUGAAAUGCGUAGAGAUGUGGAGGAACACCAGUGGCGAAGGCGACUCUCUGGUCUGUAACUGACGCUGAGGAGCGAAAGCGUGGGGAGCGAACAGGAUUAGAUACCCCGGUAGUCCCUGUCUCUUAUAC